Molecule: long non-coding RNA, 676 nt
Filed under: Mytilus galloprovincialis (Mediterranean mussel)
Lineage: Eukaryota; Metazoa; Mollusca; Bivalvia; Mytilida; Mytilidae
Source: RNAcentral
GUGUUUUCCCAUACGGUCAAUGUUAAACUUUUGCCCUGUUUCCAUGACAAUGGCGGCCAUUUUAGAACCUCUUGAUAUUGCAUGCACAUCUAGGCAUAUCAGGUAACACUUCCACAAAGUUUCAUCCACUUGGGUCUUAUAAUGAAGAAUUUAGAAUUUUGAAAAUUUUUCACAUUUUUGCAGUUUCCAUGGAAACGGCAGCCAUCUUGAACCAUUCCAUGGUGCCUGCAACUCUUCACCUAAGGGUCCUCAAUAUAAUAAAGUUCCAUCAACUUUGGUCCUCUGGAUUUCGCAAAAUCUCCUGGACAAAAUGUGUGGAAGAAAAAUAAGAAAAACUAGAUUUGUAAUUGCUAGCAAUAACGAAUGGCACCCUUCCCCCAUUGCCAGGAUAACAGCAGCCAUUUUGAAAAUUCCAAAGUCAAAGACCGGAUUUACACAUGCCUAUUAACAUUUUUGUAAAGUUUUAGAAAGAUUGGAGCAUUUUGAAAAUUUUGAAAUUUUUCGCAUUUUACCAGUUUCCAUGGUAACGGCGGCCAUCUUGGUGGUGCCAACCCUUAUUUGCAAAUCUGCACAUGGUGGUUACCAUUAUUGUAAAGUUCCAUCAGCAUUGGUCCAUACAGUUCCGAGAAUUCGCCUGGACAAAAAAAGUGGAAGAAAAAUAAUAUUAAAAAUAAGA